This 253-nucleotide ribosomal RNA is filed under the name uncultured bacterium. RNAcentral's name for it is "partial 16S ribosomal RNA". It matches the Rfam family "Bacterial small subunit ribosomal RNA", at positions 524 to 776 of the family's 1533-position model. The record is from RNAcentral.
UACGUAGGGUGUAAGCGUUGUCCGGAAUUAUUGGGCGUAAAGAGCUCGUAGGCGGUUUGUCGCGUCGACUGUGAAAACCCGGGGCUCAACCCCGGGCCUGCAUUCGAUACGGGCAGACUAGAGUUCGGUAGGGGAGUCUGGAAUUCCUGGUGUAGCGGUGAAAUGCGCAGAUAUCAGGAGGAACACCGGUGGCGAAGGCGGGUCUCUGGGCCGAUACUGACGCUGAGGAGCGAAAGCGUGGGGAGCGAACAGG